Pimephales promelas (fathead minnow) is the source of this 185-nucleotide small nucleolar RNA. RefSeq annotates it as small nucleolar RNA SNORD97. NCBI's taxonomy places the organism in Eukaryota, Metazoa, Chordata, Actinopteri, Cypriniformes, Leuciscidae. The record is from RefSeq and is a predicted model, not a curated record.
GCACCCUGUGAUUAUAAAAAGACGCGUUAUUCUGAGGGACUCAACUGGAUAGUAGUUUUCUUUCUUUCUUUCUUUGUCUGUUCUGUUUCUUCCUUUUCUUUAUCUCCUCCUUUUGCUUCUCUACUAUCCCUCAUUCUUGAACUCCUACCCAGUCCGCUGACUGCGAUUAUGAGAUAUGAGGGUGU